GAAUUCGCCCUUAGAGUUUGAUCCUGGCUCAGGACGAACGCUGGCGGCGCGCCUAACACAUGCAAGUCGAACGAGCAAGAGAGAGCUUGCUUUCUCAAGCGAGUGGCGAACGGGUGAGUAACGCGUGAGGAACCUGCCUCAAAGAGGGGGACAACAGUUGGAAACGACUGCUAAUACCGCAUAAGCCCACGGCUCGGCAUCGAGCAGAGGGAAAAGGAGCAAUCCGCUUUGAGAUGGCCUCGCGUCCGAUUAGCUAGUUGGUGAGGUAAUGGCCCACCAAGGCGACGAUCGGUAGCCGGACUGAGAGGUUGAACGGCCACAUUGGGACUGAGACACGGCCCAGACUCCUACGGGAGGCAGCAGUGGGGAAUAUUGCACAAUGGGGGAAACCCUGAUGCAGCGACGCCGCGUGGAGGAAGAAGGUCUUCGGAUUGUAAACUCCUGUUGUUGAGGAAGAUAAUGACGGUACUCAACAAGGAAGUGACGGCUAACUACGUGCCAGCAGCCGCGGUAAAACGUAGGUCACAAGCGUUGUCCGGAAUUACUGGGUGUAAAGGGAGCGCAGGCGGGAAGACAAGUUGGAAGUGAAAUCCAUGGGCUCAACCCAUGAACUGCUUUCAAAACUGUUUUUCUUGAGUAGUGCAGAGGUAGGCGGAAUUCCCGGUGUAGCGGUGGAAUGCGUAGAUAUCGGGAGGAACACCAGUGGCGAAGGCGGCCUACUGGGCACCAACUGACGCUGAGGCUCGAAAGUGUGGGUAGCAAACAGGAUUAGAUACCCUGGUAGUCCACACUGUAAACGAUGAUU
This 805-nucleotide ribosomal RNA is filed under the name uncultured bacterium. RNAcentral describes it as "bacterial SSU rRNA". It matches the Rfam family "Bacterial small subunit ribosomal RNA", at positions 1 to 814 of the family's 1533-position model. The record is from RNAcentral.